Molecule: ribosomal RNA, 497 nt
Filed under: uncultured bacterium
Lineage: Bacteria
Description: partial 16S ribosomal RNA
Rfam family: Bacterial small subunit ribosomal RNA
Source: RNAcentral
GAUGAACGCUGGCGGCGUGCCUAAUACAUGCAAGUCGAGCGAACGGACCAGAAGCUUUCUUCUCUGAUGUUAUCGGCGGACGGGUCAUUAACACGUGGAUAACCUACCUCUCCGACUGGGAUACCUUCGGGAAACCGUGUCUACUACCGGAUAAUAUUUUGCACCGCAUGGUUCAAACGUGAAAGACGGUCUUUCUGUCACUUAUAGAUGAAUCCGCGCUGCAUUAGCUAGUUGGUAAGGUAGCGGCUUAACAACGCAACGAUGCAUAGCCGACCUGAGAGGGUGAUCGGACACACGGGAAGUGAGAAAGGGUAGAGACACUGAGGGGAGGAAGCAGUAGGGAAUCUUACGCAAUGGGCGAAAGCGGGACGGAGCAACGCGGCGUGAGUGAUGAAGGAGUUCGGAUGGGAAAACGAUGUAAUUAGGGAAGAAGAUAUGUGUAAGUAACUGGGAAGAUAAUGACGGUACCGAAUCAGAAAGCCACGGCUAACUACGUG